Molecule: ribosomal RNA, 472 nt
Filed under: uncultured delta proteobacterium
Lineage: Bacteria; Deltaproteobacteria
Description: bacterial SSU rRNA
Rfam family: Bacterial small subunit ribosomal RNA
Source: RNAcentral
CGUGAGUGAAGAAGGCUUUCGGGUCGUAAAGCUCUGUCAAGUGGGAAAAAAAGCUCUCGAUUAAUAGUCGGGAGACCUGAUGGUACCACUGGAGGAAGCACCGGCUAACUCCGUGCCAGCAGCCGCGGUAAUACGGAGGGUGCAAGCGUUGUUCGGAAUUACUGGGCGUAAAGAGCGUGUAGGCGGUUUGGCAAGUCAGAUGUGAAAGCCCUGGGCUCAACCCAGGAAGUGCAUUUGAAACUGCCAUCCUUGAGUAUGGGAGAGGAGAGUGGAAUUCCCAAUGUAGAGGUGAAAUUCGUAGAUAUUGGGAGGAACACCCGUGGCGAAGGCGACUCUCUGGACCAAUACUGACGCUGAGACGCGAAAGCGUGGGGAGCAAACAGGAUUAGAUACCCUGGUAGUCCACGCCGUAAACGAUGAGAACUAGGUGUAGCGGGUAUUGACCCCUGCUGUGCCGAAGUUAACGCAUUAA